AACGAACGCUGGCGGCAGGCCUAAAACAUGCAAGUCGAACGCCCCGCAAGGGGAGUGGCGCACGGGUGAGUAACGCGUGGGAACGUGCCCUUCAGUACGGGACAACGUCGGGAAACUGACGCUAAUACCGUAUAAUAUCUCCGGAUCAAAGAUUUAUCGCUGAGGGAGCGGCCCGCGUCUGAUUAGCUAGUUGGUGAGGUAAUGGCUCACCAAGGCUACGAUCAGUAGCAGGUCUGAGAGGAUGAUCUGCCACACGGGGACUGAGACACGGCCCAGACUCCUACGGGAGGCAGCAGUUAGGAAUAUUGGACAAUGGGGGAAACCCUGAUCCAGCCAUGCCGCGUGUGUGAUGAAGGCCCUAGGGUUGUAAAGCACUUUCGUUGGGGAUGAUAAUGACCGUACCCAAAGAAGAAGCCACGGCUAAAUUCGUGCCAGCCGCCGCGGUAA
RNAcentral lists this ribosomal RNA (447 nucleotides) under uncultured bacterium. Its description in RNAcentral is "partial 16S ribosomal RNA". It matches the Rfam family "Bacterial small subunit ribosomal RNA", at positions 29 to 523 of the family's 1533-position model. The record is from RNAcentral.